RNAcentral lists this ribosomal RNA (520 nucleotides) under uncultured Glomus. RNAcentral describes it as "SSU rRNA". It matches the Rfam family "Eukaryotic small subunit ribosomal RNA", at positions 569 to 1080 of the family's 1831-position model. Lineage: Eukaryota; Fungi; Glomeromycota; Glomeromycetes; Glomerales; Glomeraceae. The record is from RNAcentral.
AGCAGCCGCGGUAAUUCCAGCUCCAAUAGCGUAUAUUAAAGUUGUUGCAGUUAAAAAGCUCGUAGUUGAAUUUCGGGACCAAUAUGUCGGUCGUGCUUCGGUACGUACUUGCAUUAUUGGUUUCCCCCCUUCUGAAGAACCUUGAUGUCAUUAAUUUGGUGUCUUGGGGAAUCAGGACUGUUACUUUGAAAAAAUUAGAGUGUUUAAAGCAGGCUCGCGCUUGAAUACAUUAGCAUGGAAUAAUGAAAUAGGACGUUUUGAUUCUAUUUUGUUGGUUUUCUGGGAUCGACGUAAUGAUUAAUAGGGAUAGUUGGGGGCAUUAGUAUUCAAUUGUCAGAGGUGAAAUUCUUGGAUUUAUUGAAGACUAACUACUGCGAAAAGCAUUUGCCAAGGAUGUUUUCAUUAAUCAAGAACGAAAGUUAGGGGAAUCGAAGACGAUCAGAUACCGUCGUAGUCUUAACCAUAAAACUAUAGCCCGACUAGGGAUCGGGAUGAUUGUUAUUUUUGAUUGACUUCAUUU